UGGGGGAUAUUGCACAAUGGGCGAAAGCCUGAUGCAGCGACGCCGCGUGGGGGAUGAAGGCUUUCGGGUUGUAAACCUCUUUCGCUAUCGAACAAGGCCCGCUUAGGGUGGGUUGAGGGUAGGUGGAGAAGAAGCGCCGGCUAACUACGUGCCAGCAGCCGCGGUAAUACGUAGGGCGCGAGCGUUGUCCGGAAUUAUUGGGCGUAAAGGGCUUGUAGGCGGCUUGGUGCGCCUGCUGUGAAAACGCGGGGCUUAACUUCGCGCGUGCAGUGGGUACGGGCAGGCUUGGGUGUGGUAGGGGUGACUGGAAUUCCAGGUGUAGCGGUGGAAUGCGCAGAUAUCUGGAGGAACACCGAUGGCGAAGGCAGGUCACUGGGCCAUUACUGACGCUGAGGAGCGAAAGCAUGGGUAGCGAACAGG
RNAcentral lists this ribosomal RNA (420 nucleotides) under bacterium. RNAcentral describes it as "partial 16S ribosomal RNA". It matches the Rfam family "Bacterial small subunit ribosomal RNA", at positions 355 to 776 of the family's 1533-position model. The record is from RNAcentral.